Molecule: ribosomal RNA, 254 nt
Filed under: uncultured bacterium
Lineage: Bacteria
Description: partial 16S ribosomal RNA
Rfam family: Bacterial small subunit ribosomal RNA
Source: RNAcentral
UACGUAGGGGGCGAGCGUUGUCCGGAUUUAUUGGGCGUAAAGAGCUCGUAGGCGGUUUGGUAAGUCGGGUGUGAAAUCUCCACGCUCAACGUGGAGGGGCCACUCGAUACUGCCAUGACUCGAGUCCGGUAGAGGAGUGUGGAAUUCCCGGUGUAGCGGUGAAAUGCGCAGAUAUCAGGAGGAACACCAAUGGCGAAGGCAGCUCGCUGGGACGUGACUGACGCUGAGACGCGAAAGCGUGGGGAGCAAACAGG